RNAcentral lists this ribosomal RNA (253 nucleotides) under uncultured bacterium. Its description in RNAcentral is "partial 16S ribosomal RNA". It matches the Rfam family "Bacterial small subunit ribosomal RNA", at positions 524 to 776 of the family's 1533-position model. The record is from RNAcentral.
UACGUAGGGUGCGAGCGUUAAUCGGAAUUACUGGGCGUAAAGCGUGCGCAGGCGGUCUUGCAAGUCAGUGGUGAAAUCCCCGGGCUCAACCUGGGAACUGCCAUUGUGACUGCAAGGCUAGAGUGCGGCAGAGGGGGAUGGAAUUCCGCGUGUAGCAGUGAAAUGCGUAGAUAUGCGGAGGAACACCGAUGGCGAAGGCAAUCCCCUGGGCCUGCACUGACGCUCAUGCACGAAAGCGCGGGGAGCAAACAGG